Molecule: long non-coding RNA, 903 nt
Organism: Rattus norvegicus (Norway rat)
Lineage: Eukaryota; Metazoa; Chordata; Mammalia; Rodentia; Muridae
Source: RefSeq, a predicted model, not a curated record
GCGCGCGAACACAGGUUCCCCGCAACCGCACGCACGCCACGCAGGCGCGCGCGGGGUCCCAGCGCCCACAGCCCAGCGCUGUUACAGCUGCCAGCCACUGCCGCGGGCGCCAGCAUCACCGUCGCAGGUUUCGCAUAAGACUCCGACUCCGGUUUUUGCCUUGUGCCGUCUUAGGGCGAGCUACCUAAAUGUGUAGCCAACAGAUUUCACCCCAGGGAUGACUGGGAAAGGAGGAAGCCUUGGCAUUCUCAGAAGGCUGGUUCUCAUUUCAGGAGUGCAGGGAAGGAAAGCUUUGGUGUAUGUGGACCAGAGGCUCCCAGAGUCCUGGCCCCUGGAAACAACGUGUCAUCCGAAAACAAAGACUCAUGCUGGUCUCUUGGCUUUAGAACCGUGAACAGAUUGGCCUCACUCCAGUGAAAAGGAAACAAUUUUUCAGUGAACACUUAAAUACAUGCAUCUAAAUUUCAACGACUUAACAAUUCACAAGAAUUGCUUUCCCACCGGUUCUAGACGCUUCCGAUUGCGUCUUCGACACAGCCGGGUCAGCAUUAUCGAUUUCGAAAAACUAGAGUUCUACAGUAUCACCAUGCUCACGGAAGAAAGUCCUACUGCUUUCCUAGAAAGUUGAGCUUAUCAGGAUUGGAAUAUUGUCCCUCUGAGUCCCUGUAGAAUUAUAUAGGUGAAGUACAACCCGUUUUCAGGGCAGGACUUUUGGAAGUUACCCAGUUCCGUUUGUCUGAUGUUUUUGCCCUCCCAGCAUGAUUUAACUUCUCUUUAGCUCUGUAAUUUAAGUGGGAGCUUCUUGAACCAGAAGCUUGGUGUGAUGGUAGGACUCCUUCACACAUUCUAUAGAGCUCUAAGUGUUAUUUCCCCUGGGGGAGACUAUUAAAUUCUUAAACACAA